Molecule: ribosomal RNA, 321 nt
Filed under: uncultured fungus
Lineage: Eukaryota; Fungi
Description: eukaryotic LSU rRNA
Source: RNAcentral
AACGCAAGUUGCGCCCGAAGCCAUUAGGUUGAAGGCACGUCUGCCUGGGCGUCACGCAUUGCGUCGCCCACUCACCCCGUGCCUCAAUAGGGCGGGUAAGUGAGUGGGCGGAUAUUGGCCCCCUGUUCACAUUUGCUGCUCGGUCGGCCUAAAAUAAGGUCCCCAACGAUGGACAUCACGACAAGUGGUGGUUGCCAAACCGUCGCGUCAUGUCGUGCAUGCCAUUUUUUGUCGUGGGCUGGCUCACCGACCCUUAAGUACCAUCGACUGUGGUACCUCAAUUGCGACCCCAGGUCAGGCGGGAUUACCCGCUGAGUUUAG